CAGCCGCCGCGGUAAUACGUAGGGUGCAAGCGUUAAUCGGAAUUACUGGGCGUAAAGCGUGCGCAGGCGGUUCGUUAAGACAGAUGUGAAAUCCCCGGGCUUAACCUGGGAACUGCAUUUGUGACUGGCGGGCUAGAGGAUGGCAGAGGGGGGUAGAAUUCCACGUGUAGCAGUGAAAUGCGUAGAGAUGUGGAGGAAUACCGAUGGCGAAGGCAGCCCCCUGGGCCAAUACUGACGCUCAUGCACGAAAGCGUGGGGAGCAAACAGGAUUAGAUACCCCGGUAGUCCCUGUCUCUUAUAC
Molecule: ribosomal RNA, 301 nt
Filed under: uncultured bacterium
Lineage: Bacteria
Description: partial 16S ribosomal RNA
Rfam family: Bacterial small subunit ribosomal RNA
Source: RNAcentral